CUUUGCAUUCUGCUGUACAUGCCUACCUACCUAUGCUGCUCAUCCUCCAUGCCCUCGAUCACCUGCCACGCUCCUUGCUUUUCAUGCCACUUGUUUUUGGUCACAUUAUUAGUGUUCACACCUUGAAAAGCUGUUGCACCAAGUGGACUGACAUGAGUCAUAGCUCCAACACGAGAGAUGCCUUUGAACAAAGAAGAGGAAUAUCAAACUUCAUCAUCACACAAUUUUGCAAAAGGUGUUAAUUGCUGCAGCACAACCCGCUGGUGCAGAGGAGCAUCGACAUCUGGACCAAGAACUAACAUGCCUUUUAGGAGCUGGAACUGGCCAGGACGACACGAGAUGCGCUUGUGGACUGAUUGGAGACGGAUGGGGAAAUUAACACUCAGGCAAUGUGAUUGGAGAAGGGGACUGGUGGGAGUUGCUACUUAGCAGAGAGAGAGGGAGGGCAGAAAAGGUGUCACGAGCAUGGACACGCCACUUGUGAGUAACGUGCUGGGACGCAGAAGGGGUCGAGAGAGUGACGUAGAACAACGCACUGGAGUGCCGACGCACAUCAACCAGACGGCAGUAGGCCAGGACGAGCACAUGCCCACGGGAGAUAUUGGCUUAACGCCAAAGUUAAAAAAAUAUGGCAAGUAAAGAAAAGCUUAAUAAUUCUUUCCCUGGUGGGCGUGUUUGUUUAUGACAAGUUUGCACCCUUCUGCUCUCCUCACGGCGACGUCCCAGGAAA
Molecule: long non-coding RNA, 730 nt
Organism: Nerophis ophidion (straightnose pipefish)
Lineage: Eukaryota; Metazoa; Chordata; Actinopteri; Syngnathiformes; Syngnathidae
Exons: 3
Source: RefSeq, a predicted model, not a curated record